This 357-nucleotide ribosomal RNA is filed under the name uncultured organism. RNAcentral describes it as "bacterial SSU rRNA". It matches the Rfam family "Bacterial small subunit ribosomal RNA", at positions 45 to 433 of the family's 1533-position model. The record is from RNAcentral.
GGCUUAACACAUGCAAGUCGAGCGCGUAGCAAUACGAGCGGCAGACGGGUGAGUAACGCGUGGGAAUCUACCCAUCUCUACGGAAUAACUCAGGGAAACUUGUGCUAAUACCGUAUACGCCCUUCGGGGGAAAGAUUUAUCGGAGAUGGAUGAGCCCGCGUUGGAUUAGCUAGUUGGUGGGUAAAGGCCUACCAAGGCGACGAUCCAUAGCUGGUCUGAGAGGAUGAUCAGCCACAUUGGGACUGAGACACGGCCCAAACUCCUACGGGAGGCAGCAGUGGGGAAUAUUGGACAAUGGGCGCAAGCCUGAUCCAGCCAUGCCGCGUGAGUGAUGAAGGCCUUAGGGUUGUAAAGCUC